CUCCUGCCCAGGAUAGUUCCAUGUGUUUAGCAGCCGGUCUCCUUUCAUACAAUAAAAAUACCGAACAGUCAUGCUUUUUAAGAUUUGUGCUUUUGUUGAUCAUGUUCUGCUUUGUUCGUGUAAUACUUUUACCGAACGCCGCCUCGUUCAUAUGAAUCUGGGCAAAGCUAAGUGGUCAUGGAAGUCUCAGCGGUGUUCGGGAGUUGAGUGUCCGAAAAUAGUUCCAGACACUCGCCGACCAAACACCACUGGACGUGUUCGACAAAACAAGAUGGCCGCCCCCACGUGUUCGUGCAUACGAAUCGACGGCCACCCAUUGAACCACUUAGAAUGCUUGCGGUUUUGUGGUUUGGCACAGAGUCAAUGGUGUAAUUGGCGGCACACGACUGGGCUGGGUGGUCUCUCGUUCGGAAGUAUUGUUCGUUCAUACGAACGGGGUAGCAAUGUCAUUCGUUUUUCCCAUUCAUAUGUUUUCAAAUAUCAAACUGGCAACGAAUACAAAGUAACAAAUCCAAGGGGUGUACAAUGUUAUAGUCUGUGGUCCAGGCAAUCACAGGGGUUCUGUUACAGUAGAUUGCCAGCUGUUUUAAAACGUCAUCUUCCAUGAUGUUUUGUCAUUCUAAAGGCAUACUAGAGGCAUGCAAAGCAUCAUGGAAGUCGUAGUUCUACAACAUUUGUGGAUCUACCUUUUGGUCAGCCCUUGGUUAAACCUUAAAGGUCAGGAACACUAGUUAUACAAACUUAACCUACAAUUUUCAGUAUAAAGACCCAACCCCUGAUUUCUAUUCCAGUAAUCAAUAUCGAAUCAUUGCUAGAUGUGAAUUAAAAUAUCCAACUUACUGGCUGUUAUUGUACGGACCAGAAAGAAUGAACAGCGCGGUUGGCGGUUACGGCUUUUGCCCAUGAUUCUUAAAUUGGCUCCUUUGAGAUCACUUAAAGUUGUAUUAUUUCAGAAUAUGUCUGUCCUUUUGUCAGGUUGGUCUAACAAGCGAUAAUCCUUUCAACAAUAGAAAUUUGAUGAAGCCUUCAAGAAGUCUCCAAUGUGUACAUAAAAGGUCAGAAGUUGGUGAGAGGCAGACAGUUCACAAGUUGGGGCAAUUAACAUUAUACUUUGCUAUACUUCCAUCUCGCCAGCUUGCUCUGCAGCGAAGAGAUUGUCCUGCCCGCCUUCCAGAGCGCGCACAUUGCAGCUCUAAUUAGUCCCCGUUGUUUUAUCAACUUCUGCAAACUCUGCCAAGUCUACCUGAACAUCCACCUGUGGCCCAUGUAAUAAACAUCACACCCCAUG
Molecule: non-coding RNA, 1288 nt
Organism: Pelobates cultripes (western spadefoot toad)
Lineage: Eukaryota; Metazoa; Chordata; Amphibia; Anura; Pelobatidae
Source: the annotation of a GenBank genome assembly